AAUAUAUAGCUAACCUGCCCUUUAGUGGGGGACAACAGUUGGAAACGACUGCUAAUACCCUAUACUCUUCUUACUAUAAGGUAAGUUGGGAAAGAUUUAUCGCUAAAGGAUGGGGCUUUAUUGUAUCAGCUAGUUGGUGGGGUAAUGGCCUACCAAGGCUAUGACGCAUACCUGGUCUGAGAGGAUGAUCAGGCACACUGGAACUGAGACACGGUCCAGACUCCUACGGGAGGCAGCAGUGGGGAAUAUUGCACAAUGGAGGAAACUCUGAUGCAGCAACGCCGCGUGGAGGAUGACGCAUUUCGGUGUGUAAACUCCUUUUAUAGGGGAAGAUAAUGACGGUACCCUAUGAAUAAGCACCGGCUAACUCCGUGCCAGCAGCCGCGGUAAUACGGAGGGUGCAAGCGUUACUCGGAAUCACUGGGCGUAAAGGAUGCGUAGGCUGGAAAUCAAGUCGAGAGUGAAAUCCAACGGCUCAACCGUUGAACUGCUCUCGAAACUGGUUACCUAGAAUAUGGGAGAGGUAGAUGGAAUUAGUGGUGUAGGGGUAAAAUCCGUAGAUAUCACUAGGAAUACCGAUUGCGAAGGCGAUCUACUGGA
RNAcentral lists this ribosomal RNA (600 nucleotides) under uncultured bacterium. RNAcentral describes it as "bacterial SSU rRNA". It matches the Rfam family "Bacterial small subunit ribosomal RNA", at positions 112 to 733 of the family's 1533-position model. The record is from RNAcentral.